UUCGAUAGAGGUGCGGAUUUUGAAGAGUAGUUUUUCCUUUUCGGACGGUCGUUGUCCGGAAAAGCGAAAGGCAAAUCCGCCGAGGCUACGUUGUUUUCGACCGAUAGCGUUUGCCGGGAGACAGGGAAAUACCUUGUUUACUGUCACAGUUUUGUGGAGCGCUAUCG
This 167-nucleotide non-coding RNA is filed under the name human gut metagenome. RNAcentral's name for it is "Lysine riboswitch". It matches the Rfam family "Lysine riboswitch aptamer". From Rfam's summary of the family: Riboswitches are metabolite binding domains within certain messenger RNAs that serve as precision sensors for their corresponding targets. The record is from RNAcentral.